Maniola jurtina (meadow brown) is the source of this 106-nucleotide long non-coding RNA. RefSeq lists it as uncharacterized. The transcript has 3 exons. The record is from RefSeq and is a predicted model, not a curated record. Lineage: Eukaryota; Metazoa; Arthropoda; Insecta; Lepidoptera; Nymphalidae.
ACUUUUACGAGUCAUAACUAUAUGCCAAAGCUACAUGCAUGCCAAGUUUUACGCUUUUUUCCGGAUGGGACCGUAUUUAAAGCUAAGGAGCCAUACAUUUGCUAAC